AUUGACCGCUGGCGGCAGGCCUAACACAUGCAAGUCGAACGAGUGGCGGACGGGUGAGGAAUGUAUGGGAAACUGCCCGAUGGAGGGGGAUAACUACUGGAAACGGUAGCUAAUACCGCAUACCAUCGGAUGUGCCCAGAUGGGAUUAGAUAGUAGGGGGGGUAACGGCUCACCUAGGGGACGAUCCCUAGCUGGUCUGCGAGGAUGACCAGACCCACUGGAACUGAGACACGAGCCAGACUCCUAGGGGAGGCAGCAGUGGGGAAUAUGGAACAAUGGGCGCAAGCAUGAAGCAGCCAUGCCGCGUGUAUGAAGAAGGCCUUCGGGUUGUAAAGUCCUUUCAGCGAGUAGGCGUUACUCGCAGAAGAAGCACCGGCUAACUCCGUGCCAGCAGCCGCGGUAAUAC
Molecule: ribosomal RNA, 406 nt
Filed under: uncultured bacterium
Lineage: Bacteria
Description: partial 16S ribosomal RNA
Rfam family: Bacterial small subunit ribosomal RNA
Source: RNAcentral